GAUGAACGCUGGCGGUGUGCCUAAUACAUGCAAGUCGAACGAGCUCUUCGGAGCUAGUGGCGGACGGGUGAGUAACACGUUGGUACCUGCCUCGAAGUGGGGAAUAACUGCCCGAAAGGGUGGCUAAUACCGCAUGUGACCGCAAGGUUAAAGCAGUAAUGCGCUUCGAGAGGGGCCUGCGUCCCAUUAGCUUGUUGGUAGGGUAAAAGCCUACCAAGGCGACGAUGGGUAGCUGGAUCGAGAGGUUGACCAGCCACACUGGGACUGAGAUACGGCCCAGACUCCUACGGGAGGCAGCAGUAAGGAAUUUUCCACAAUGGACGAAAGUCUGAUGGAGCAACACCGCGUGCAGGAUGACGGCCUUCGGGUUGUAAACUGCUUUUAUAUGGGAAGAUUAUGACGGUACCAUAUGAAUAAGCACCGGCUAACUACGUGCCAGCAGCCGCCGUAA
Molecule: ribosomal RNA, 451 nt
Filed under: uncultured bacterium
Lineage: Bacteria
Description: partial 16S ribosomal RNA
Rfam family: Bacterial small subunit ribosomal RNA
Source: RNAcentral